CUCCGCGUCCCGCUGUCCGCCCGCUAGCGUCCAGGGCGCCUCCUCUGUGCAGGGCGGGCGACGAGGCUCCCGAGGCGGAGCUGAUGGCUGCACUGAGGGCGGGGCGGGGUGCAGUCUGGAGCCUCCGAGGAUGGCGCGCUUUGGGAGGGGGUCGCUGGGGAAAGGGACCCCUGUUGACCCCUGACCUCCGGGCCUUGCUGACGUUAGGAACUCCUGACCCUCGGGCCCGAGUGACUUAUGGGACCCCCAGUUUCGGGGCCCGGUUGUCUGUGGGAGCCCCUGAACCACGAACAUGUCUGACGUCGGGGACUUCGGAUCCCCGAGCACGGCUGAUCCAGGGGACCCCAGAUCCCCGGAUCCGGGAAGACUCAGGGACCCCUGGAACCCGUCCGCGCGUGUGGCUGGCGGUGGCGCUGGGCGCUGGGGGGGCAGUGCUCUUGUUGUUGUGGGGCGGGGGUCGGGGUCCCCCGGCCGUCCUCGCCUCGGUCCUUGGCUCGCCGCCUCCCUCUCCCCGGAGCCAGUACAACUUCAUCGCGGACGUGGUGGAGAAGACGGCCCCUGCCGUGGUUUAUAUCGAGAUCUUGGGCCGGCACCCUUUUUCGGGCCGCGAAGUCCCUAUCUCGAAUGGCUCAGGAUUCGUGGUGGCUGCCGACGGGCUCAUCGUUACCAACGCUCAUGUGGUGGCUGAUCGGCGCCGAGUCCGUGUCAGGCUGCCUAGCGGCGAUACGUAUGAGGCCGUCGUCACAGCUGUGGAUCCCGUGGCAGAUAUCGCCACGCUGAGGAUUCAGACCAAGGAGCCUCUCCCAACGCUGCCCCUGGGACGUUCAGCCGAUGUCCGGCAAGGGGAGUUUGUCGUUGCCAUGGGAAGUCCCUUUGCACUGCAGAACACGAUCACAUCCGGCAUUGUCAGCUCUGCUCAGCGUCCAGCCAAAGACCUGGGCCUUCCCCAAACCAAUGUGGAAUACAUCCAGACUGAUGCAGCUAUUGAUUUUGGAAACUCUGGCGGUCCCCUGGUUAACCUGGAUGGGGAGGUGAUUGGGGUGAAUACCAUGAAGGUCACAGCUGGAAUCUCCUUUGCCAUCCCUGCUGAUCGCCUUCGAGAGUUUCUACAUCGUGGAGAAAAGAAGAAUUCCUGGUUUGGAAGCAGUGGGUCCCAGCGCCGCUACAUUGGAGUGAUGAUGCUAACCCUGACUCCCAGCAUCCUUGCUGAACUACAGCUUCGAGAACCAAGCUUUCCUGAUGUUCAGCAUGGUGUGCUCAUCCAUAAAGUCAUCCUGGACUCCCCUGCACACCGGGCUGGUCUACGGCCUGGUGAUGUGAUCUUGGCCAUUGGGGAGCGGCUGGUACAAAAUGCUGAAGAUAUUUAUGAAGCCGUUCGAACCCAAUCCCAGCUGGCAGUGCGGAUCCGGCGGGGACCGGAAACAUUGACCUUAUAUGUGACCCCUGAAGUCACAGAAUGAAUGGAUCAGCAAGAGUAGGAGGCUUCUGCUCUGAUUUCUACCUUGCUUUCCUGGCUUGGGUUCUUAUGGCACCCGGAUGGAGGAUUAAAUGAACCAGUUGGGGGCAGGUCCCUCCAACUACCAGCACCAAUCCCUGGGCCCUGAGGAAUCACAAAAACACUUUUUAUAUAAAAUAAAAUUAUACCUAGCAACAUGUUAUACUCAAAAAUGAGGGGAAGGGUGGCGCACUGCUCUUUCCCCCCACAAAAAGGCUAGAGGUAAAGCCGUAUCUCCCUGAACUGAGAGGAGAUAUUGGAGUUGACCAUUCUGACCUCCCUGUUUAAGAAAACGAGCUGCUGCUGUCUUUUCCUGGGCAGUCAAUCAGGUGCGCCUCUUUGUGGCGUGCUUGGUUUGGUGCUGGGCCUGGGAGCAAAAUUCCCCAUGCCUGGCCACAGAUCCAGACAGCCGGCGUAAAAGGAGGGCAAUAACUUCUGCUUGACAGUUCUACACCCACAGUGCACAAUGGAUGAGUGCCGUGGGCCUGCUGACGUCAAGGAUUCCUUGUGUAGGGCAGGUUGCAUCGGACUCCAGCAUCUUGGCUAUGGGAACAGUCCUCAGCUGUGAUGUUCCUGUGGGGGCACUUCCAGAGGGAGGGUUCCUGGCCAGAGCAUCGAACUUCACUCAAAUGGAUGGCACCCAUGCCUAAGGGUGCUGGCCCUAAUGGAGGCUGAGGCUGACGCUACUGUGCAAAGACAAUAGGAAGCCAGGACUGACCAGCUGGAAGAGAUGGGUAGGAGGGAGUAGCUGACACAAACAGGAAGCCUGAAUAGCCAGAGUGAGCAGAUCCUUCUAUUACGCUGUGACUGAAAUAACUAAAUGAGUCAGGAUGCAAAGGAGUGAGUAAGUCUUGCGUCUACAUGGCUUCUUAGAGGCCAGAGGGGUUUCCAGGCCAGAGGAUGAUGGGCAGUUAUGGAAGAACAGACCAGAUGGUGAACACAGGAAAGACUGGAGUUGGUAUAUACAGGAACGAAGAUGUACAAAUGCAAGACAGACAAAGAGGGGCCACGUGACCAGAGAAGGAGAGUGAAUAUGAACAACAGAAGGGUGAAGAUAUCCCCAGACCUGAGCUGAACUGUAUGAGUCUUUAAUGAGGUAGUCCAUGCUUCUGCAGUUUAAAUGUAACAGAAAGAAUGUUCCAUAGCCCCUCAAGUGGGAAAAUGGGACUAAAUUAGAGAUGUUAAAACUUGGAAACACAGCGGAGAGAUGCUAGAGAGAAUGAAGAGACUUGCUUAUUGACACCAACGGAAUGAGAUACUGCAGUGAGCCAUGUGAUGAGAGAAGUACGUUCUUCCCAGAACAGCUGGUUUGAACCCAGAGAGGAAAGGAACCAGAUGAGGCCUGGUGUUGGUGGAGUGGGUCUGUGAGGCUGGUUUGGCAGUGAAUUAUUGCAGUAAUGUGCUCCAUUACUUGAUGUCAGAGGAAGGAAGGAAUAUGACGAUUUGAAGCCAUUGGCUGGGAAGACACAGAGAGAUGGACAAGUUAUAAACAAAUCAGACCAAGGAAGCCUGGAGACUUUACAGAAUACCUUUGCGAGCUCAAGAUAAGUGGAUUCAAAGAGACCAGGUAUUCUCCCAAAGUCCUGUCUGGCUGAAAAUAAAAGUCAAAGACGCCAUCAGAGGAAAAAGACAUCUCUCUUCUAAACUCUCUCCUCCUUUUUUCCCCAUAACUGACAAAAUAAAAACACCAGUGUGCAUUUUAAUGUGGGGGGUCAGGGAAGGCCAGAGUAUGGCCAUGUUGGGCAAGAUGACCCUAAGCUGGAAGGGCACUACAAGAACACCCCCAAAUUCCAAGCCCCUUUGAAGGCACCAGAGGGAGGAGCUGGGGAAUGAGGGGUACCAGGGGCCACUGGGUGAUCUCGGAAUGCUGUGAAGAGAGGAGGAAAGAAUAGAAAGGGAUGACUUCUCUAUGCCUCAACUACUGCUGAAGAAGCUAUCAGAGAGACUUUUCAUGGACAAAUUGCCUUUAGAAACCAAGUGAGACACAAUCAUCGGGAUUGGAAGCUUUCCAUUCCCUGGGCUUCUGAAGGAACCCAGGAGGAAAAUGAUGGGACUGGGAGCCUAAUUGUGUGAACUGGGCCAGAGAUCAGGACUUCCAUGUGACUCCAUCCCUGACAAAGUUUCCAGAGGGGAUCCUCAGUCUCACUUCCAAGCUGGUAGCACUUAUUUUUAACAAUUAAAUAAAGGUAGGAUGGGAACACUGAUCCCUUAGGCAAACUUAACUUCUUGGGGGAGAGGCAAGCAUGGCAUCUGAAGGACAAGAGUGCCAGAGUAUCUACUAAAAUCUGCUGGGGGAAGAUAAAUAAGCAUGUGGAACAAGGGUAGUCAGUGGAUGAACUUCUGAGAUUUUCAGAAAUCCUGUGACAAGCAUAAUUCCUCAGAGAACCACAUAAGGGCCAGUCUUACUUUACAUUUCGGUGACUCAUCUGGAAGGUGGCUUGUAACAGUUGCUGCUGCUCUUCCACCUCUUGGUGGAGGCUUCUCUUGGACCCCUUCCUGACCACAGCCCGACGCCCCUGACUCGUCACUCGGCACUCCCUCUCCUCUCCACUUAGCCUG
Molecule: RNA transcript, 4054 nt
Organism: Globicephala melas (long-finned pilot whale)
Lineage: Eukaryota; Metazoa; Chordata; Mammalia; Artiodactyla; Delphinidae
Gene: HTRA2
Gene name: HtrA serine peptidase 2
Source: RefSeq, a predicted model, not a curated record